This 547-nucleotide long non-coding RNA is filed under the name Numida meleagris (helmeted guineafowl). Its description in RNAcentral is "lncRNA (ENSNMEG00000006515.1)". The record is from RNAcentral. Lineage: Eukaryota; Metazoa; Chordata; Aves; Galliformes; Numididae.
UCUAAAGAAAAAUAAUUUGAAAUAGAAGCUCUUUUACCACUGAAGAACUUUCAGGAAAAAUGUAAGAAGAGCUUGACAGAAAAAAGAUGCUGACUCCAAUAGACUUGAUUAGAAGUCCUGUAAUUGGAAAUACAUUCUGUUAUUCAAAUCUUUUGGAGAACUGCCUAGCAGAAAAGGUGUCCUGUUCUUGGGAAGAAUGGAGAGAAGAUAACUCCAAAAGAGUCCAGAAGUUAGGUGAAGAGACUUUCCACCUCACUGUCAAGGAGAGACUUGUUUUCCUUCACCUUCCUAUUGGGGACAUUGAAGAGACACAGGAGGCCUCAGAGAGACACGUUUCUUACACUUCCUAGCAGUCGUGGUAGAACUAGUAAUCUCUCAUUCUAUUUGGUUAUUGUAUGUAACAAAACAAUUAUUUGCAAGGGCAUUGGAAGUUAUUCAAAACUGGUAAGAAAACAGCUCAAACUGAUCACUGAACUAGUGCAGACAGUUUAAAAAAUUGUCAUUGUAAUAACAACUAUAAUAAUUUUAAAAUUAAUUGAGAUUCAGG